This 859-nucleotide ribosomal RNA is filed under the name uncultured bacterium. RNAcentral's name for it is "bacterial SSU rRNA". It matches the Rfam family "Bacterial small subunit ribosomal RNA", at positions 10 to 900 of the family's 1533-position model. The record is from RNAcentral.
AGUUUGAUCCUGGCUCGAAUGAACGCUGGCGGCAGGCCUAACACAUGCAAGUCGAACGGAGUUAUAUUGUAGCUUGCUAUGGUAUAACUUAGUGGCAGACGGGUGAGUAAUGUAUAGGAAUCUACCUAGUAGUACGGAAUAAUUGUUGGAAACGGCAACUAAUACCGUAUACGCCCUACGGGGGAAAAAUUUAUUGCUAUUAGAUGAGCCUAUAUUAGAUUAGCUAGUUGGUGGAGUAAUAGCCUACCAAGGCAAUGAUCUAUAGCUGAUCUGAGAGGAUGAUCAGCCACACUGGAACUGAGAUACGGUCCAGACUCCUACGGGAGGCAGCAGUGGGGAAUAUUGGACAAUGGGCGAAAGCCUGAUCCAGCCAUGCCGCAUGAGUGAAGAAGGCCUUUGGGUUGUAAAGCUCUUUUAGUGAGGAAGAUAAUGACGGUACUCACAGAAGAAGUCCUGGCUAACUCCGUGCCAGCAGCCGCGGUAAUACGGAGAGGGCUAGCGUUAUUCGGAAUUAUUGGGCGUAAAGGGCGCGUAGGCGGAUUAGUAAGUUAAAAGUGAAAUCCCAAGGCUCAACCUUGGAAUUGCUUUUAAAACUGCUAAUCUAGAGAUUGAAAGAGGAUAGAGGAAUUCCUAGUGUAGAGGUGAAAUUCGUAAAUAUUAGGAGGAACACCAGUGGCGAAGGCGUCUAUCUGGUUCAAAUCUGACGCUGAGGCGCGAAGGCGUGGGGAGCAAACAGGAUUAGAUACCCUGGUAGUCCACGCUGUAAACGAUGAAUGUUAAAUAUGGGAAGUUUUACUUUCUGUAUUACAGCUAACGCGUUAAACAUUCCGCCUGGGGACUACGGUCGCAAGAUUAAAAC